GACGAACGCUGGCGGCGUGCCUAAUACAUGCUAGUCGAACGCUUUUUCUUUCACCGGAGCUUGCUCCACCGAAAGAAAAAGAGUGGCGAACGGGUGAGUAACACGUGGGUAACCUGCCCAUCAGAAGGGGAUAACACUUGGAAACAGGUGCUAAUACCGUAUAACACUAUUUUCCGCAUGGAAGAAAGUUGAAAGGCGCUUUUGCGUCACUGAUGGAUGGACCCGCGGUGCAUUAGCUAGUUGGUGAGGUAACGCCUCACCAAGGCAACGAUGAAGCACCGACCUGGGAGGGUGAUCGGCCACACUGGGACUGAGACACGGGCCAGACUCCUACGGGAGGCAGCAGUAGGGAAUCUUCGGCAAUGGACGAAAGUCUGACCGAGCAACGCCGCGUUAGUGAAGAAGGUUUUCGGAUCGUAAAACUCUGUUGUUAGAGAAGAACAAGGAUGAGAGUAAAACGUUCAUCCCUUGACGGUAUCUAACCAGAAAGCCACGGCUAACUACGUGCCAGCCGCCGCCGUAA
Molecule: ribosomal RNA, 523 nt
Filed under: uncultured bacterium
Lineage: Bacteria
Description: partial 16S ribosomal RNA
Rfam family: Bacterial small subunit ribosomal RNA
Source: RNAcentral